This 72-nucleotide transfer RNA is filed under the name Camelus bactrianus (Bactrian camel). It matches the Rfam family "tRNA". From Rfam's summary of the family: Transfer RNA (tRNA) molecules are approximately 80 nucleotides in length. Their secondary structure includes four short double-helical elements and three loops (D, anti-codon, and T loops). Lineage: Eukaryota; Metazoa; Chordata; Mammalia; Artiodactyla; Camelidae. The record is from Rfam by way of RNAcentral. RNAcentral also lists the same sequence under 2 other names.
GAGGGUAUAGCUCAGUGGCAGAGCGCAUGCCCAGCAUGCAAAAGGUCCUGGGUUCAAUCCCUGGUACCUCCA